Molecule: long non-coding RNA, 341 nt
Organism: Lagopus leucura (white-tailed ptarmigan)
Lineage: Eukaryota; Metazoa; Chordata; Aves; Galliformes; Phasianidae
Exons: 3
Source: RefSeq, a predicted model, not a curated record
GUUCAGCAGUUCCCAUACAAAAGUAGAAUUACAUUUCUUCCACUGUCAUUUGUUUCUUGUUUAUCUUCAAAAUUCAAGUGCGUGAUAUUCUAGUUUGUCAGCUCCAAGAGGCAAGAGGCAAUGAGCUGAAGAGGGGAAUAAGCAUGAUCUGACUGGGAUACAGACUUAGAAACAGUCAGAGCAAAUACAUCAAUAGAGAAAAGAAGCCACAUAGAACUGGAAAUACAGGAAGAAGCAAGAAGUGCUUGUAUUGGAAAUGAUCCACGUGGACACAGAGUCUAACAAUUUCUUUUUACUACCUAAUGUGAGGGGGCUACAGUUAUUCCCAAAUGUCACAUGUU